RNAcentral lists this ribosomal RNA (492 nucleotides) under uncultured bacterium. Its description in RNAcentral is "partial 16S ribosomal RNA". It matches the Rfam family "Bacterial small subunit ribosomal RNA", at positions 29 to 507 of the family's 1533-position model. The record is from RNAcentral.
AGUGAACGCUGGCGGUAGGCCUAACACAUGCAAGUCGAACGGCAGCACAGUAAGAGCUUGCUCUUACGGGUGGCGAGUGGCGGACGGGUGAGGAAUACAUCGGAAUCUACUUUUUCGUGGGGGAUAACGUAGGGAAACUUACGCUAAUACCGCAUACGACCUACGGGUGAAAGCAGGGGAUCUUCGGACCUUGCGCGAUUGAAUGAGCCGAUGUCGGAUUAGCUAGUUGGCGGGGUAAAGGCCCACCUAGGCGACGAUCCGUACCUGGUCUGAGAGGAUGAUCAGCCACACUGGAACUGAGACACGGUCCAGACUCCUACGGGAGGCAGCAGUGGGGAAUAUUGGACAAUGGGCGCAAGCCUGAUCCAGCCAUACCGCGUGGGUGAAGAAGGCCUUCGGGUUGUAAAGCCCUUUUGUUGGGAAAGAAAAGCAGCAGGUUAAUACCCCGCUGUUCUGACGGUACCCAAAGAAUAAGCACCGGCUAACUUCGUG